AGAAUGUGCCUUCGGGAACCGUGAGACAGGUGCUGCAUGGCUGUCGUCAGCUCGUGUUGUGAAAUGUUGGGUUAAGUCCCGCAACGAGCGCAACCCUUAUCCUUUGUUGCCAGCGGUCCGGCCGGGAACUCAAAGGAGACUGCCAGUGAUAAACUGGAGGAAGGUGGGGAUGACGUCAAGUCAUCAUGGCCCUUACGACCAGGGCUACACACGUGCUACAAUGGCGCAUACAAAGAGAAGCGACCUCGCGAGAGCAAGCGGACCUCAUAAAGUGCGUCGUAGUCCGGAUUGGAGUCUGCAACUCGACUCCAUGAAGUCGGAAUCGCUAGUAAUCGUGGAUCAGAAUGCCACGGUGAAUACGUUCCCGGGCCUUGUACACACCGCCCGUCACACCAUGGGAGUGGGUUGCAAAAGAAGUAGGUAGCUUAACCUUCGGGAGGGCGCUUACCACUUUGUGAUUCAUGACUGGGGUGAAGUCGUAACAAGGUAACCGUAGGGGAACCUGC
Molecule: ribosomal RNA, 506 nt
Filed under: Salmonella enterica subsp. enterica serovar Minnesota
Lineage: Bacteria; Pseudomonadati; Pseudomonadota; Gammaproteobacteria; Enterobacterales; Enterobacteriaceae
Description: bacterial SSU rRNA
Rfam family: Bacterial small subunit ribosomal RNA
Source: RNAcentral